RNAcentral lists this long non-coding RNA (793 nucleotides) under Vitis vinifera (wine grape). Its description in RNAcentral is "long non-coding RNA (VVIN_LNC007956)". Lineage: Eukaryota; Viridiplantae; Streptophyta; Magnoliopsida; Vitales; Vitaceae. The record is from RNAcentral.
UGAAAACAGACGUGGACUCGAAGAUGACUGAAAACUUCCUUUUGGGUUCUUGGUAAGUUGUAAGAAGUCUGGUGUUUCGGUGUGCAGCUGAUGUUUAAAAAUGAUUUAAGAUUAGUCUUGUAGUGAUAACUAAUAAGUAUAGCCAGUGUGUUGGCUGGACCUGUGUUGACCCUAAUACGAUGGAGCUUGUCCUGCCUUUUAUAGUCCUCUGAAAGUAUCCGUUGCAUAUGUCUGAAUCUGAUCAUCAUAUCUCAACGGUUUCUGGCAGAUAUAUGUGAAACUCAUACAGGUGUUCAUUUUUUUUUUUUUUAAUUUGAUUUGAUGCUUAUGUUUUAAGGUGUCUAAUCUCAGUUCUGUUAUCUGAUAUAUGAUGGAUUGACUUUGGUUUCGGGGUCGAAGUCGUUUAGCCAAUAGCAGUGAAAGUCUUGUUCAUGAAAAAGUACUUUGUGUUUUCAUGUAUGUUUCUGCUAGGCUAUUUAAAGCAAUAUUCUUCCAUGCCAAAUUUUCAACUCAGACUCUGAACUCCAAUGUGUUCUGCAGUGGAUUCUAGUAUAUAUGGAAUCUGUUUAUGACAUAGACCUUUUCUGAAGAUUUUCAGGUUUUGAAGGUUUCUGUCAGAGAAUAGAACUCUGCUUGACAGAAGAAAGCUAUCAAAUUUGUUAGCAUACAGAGCAGGAGAAGCAAAUAUGGGGAUCAAACAGUCAAGGGCUCAGAGCUAUCACCAUAAUACCCCAUAUCAAUAUCCCCCUCCCCCUCCAUCAAUUCCUAGUUCUUCACCCUACCAUGCAUAUUC